Molecule: long non-coding RNA, 610 nt
Organism: Rhinopithecus roxellana (golden snub-nosed monkey)
Lineage: Eukaryota; Metazoa; Chordata; Mammalia; Primates; Cercopithecidae
Exons: 4
Source: RefSeq, a predicted model, not a curated record
CCUCGCUGUCUACGACAGAGGGUGGGGGAAGAUGCGCCGUUUCCGGUGGCAGGGUCUGGGGAAGGGGCGGCAGGCGCCAUGUCCGGCCGCGAAGGUGGCAAGAAGAAGCCACUGAAACAGCCUAAGAAGCAGGCCAAGGAGAUGGACGAGGAAGAUAAGGCUUUCAAGCAGAAACAAAAAGAGGAGCAGAAGAAACUCGAGGAGCUAAAAGCGAAGGCCGCAGGAAAGGGGCCCUUGGCCACAGGUGGAAUUAAGAAAUCUGGCAAAAAGUAAGCUGUUCCUUGUACCUGAGAAGAUGGUGACCCUUUAUUUCAUCCUUAUUUAAACGUCUAUAUUCCCUGCCAUAACAUCUUUUGCCACCUAAAGCUGGAAUUAAGUGUUGUCUUGGAGCUGUUGUACAUUUAAGAAUAAACUUUUGUAAAAAAAAAAAAAAAAAAAAAAAAUUCUUACAGUGGUUCAUUAUCUCUUAGUUGUUUUCACUAAGUCAUUCCUACCAUAACUGUGAAUUUAAAGUAAAACCAGCUCAGAACCUUGCCAGAGUCUGCUCUUUGGUCCUAGUUCUACCCUAAACUUUGUAUCACCUGAAAUUAAACCAACUCGUUUGAAAGGA